GCCCCCACUAAUAGAACAUACAAACAUGGGAAGCCCCCACUAAUAGAACAUACAAACAUGGGAAGCCCCCACUAAUAGAACAUACAAACAAGGGAAGCCCCGACUAAAUAUCUUAAAAAGGUUUGGGAAACAGGGUAAACGGAUUAAUCAUGUUUUUAACUAUGGGAAACCCCCACCAUCUACGGAUACGUUUUGGGAAAUAAGAUAAACUGGUUAAACAUAUUUUCUACAUGGGAAACCCCCACGGCAAGUGAGCCAGCUAAAGACAAACUACGUUUUCGUAAAACACUUAAAACGUACACCCAACUGUGAACUCACUCAACAUUGUUGUUGACUCAUUGUUACAUGCCUUGCAGGCCUUUAGGUGCAUGUCAAAGGAACUUGCUGUCUGGGAAGCUGGAGUGGUCAUGGGUCGGGUCACAAGGAAACGCAGCACAAGACUAAGAGCUUACAUGUGAUUUUAUAAACACUUAUUGGGUUGAAUAUGCUUCCGCUGUAAACUGGGAAAUAUUGUACACUGUUGUUAAUAAAUGAAAGUUUAUUUAAAUAUACUCAUGAUGUUCAAUGUGAUUGGUGGCUAAGAUCCUGGUCAGUCACGCCUCCAAACGGUGGUACUCCGCAUGUGGAUUUUGGGGGUGUGAUGAGGAAUACUUUGUUUGAAGCGGAUGACUUUUCAUACAUGUUGGACAAAGCUUUCAAUACACCAUAUGUGGUUGUUUCAUUGACAAUGUUGUAAGCAACACUCUUUGCCAAAGAAAGCCAAACCACACCCAAAGCUUGUCUAUCCAACAACAUCCAAUCUUCAUCAUACAUGUCAUCUGGUUGUUCAACUGACAUAGGCAAAUGCAAACUUUUCUGAUACAAUAAAUCUUCAAUUUGCAUUUUCCAAAAUCCAUAAUCACUACCAUCGAACUUAUCAAUCUUGAUUUUACUAUCUUCUGCCAUUAAAAAAAAUUACCAAAUUACUACUAACCAAACGGGUUUGUACUGCUAAGUGAUAAUUUAUACGAGCGAAAGCAAUAAUCAGAAACAAAUAACUUAUCUGUUUCAAGCUUUAAUGGCAAGGAUAAGUAUUGAUGAAUAAUGAGAUCUUGUUCAAAGUUGAGGGACCUUUCUUGAUAAAAUUGAAAAAUUCAAUUUUCUUCACCAGAAAUAAAAGUUAAGGGGCCUUUUUGAUCAAAAUUGAAACUUCAAUUUCUCCACCACCAGAAAUAAAAGAUGAGGGGCCUUUCUGAUCAAAAUCGAAACUUUCAAUUCUCCACCAGAAUAAAAGCACAAAAGCACGUAUGCGUGCUUCUUCUUCCCCAAUUCCACCAAAAAAACUCUGGUCUCCCCUUCUUCUUCUUCUUCUUCUUCUUCUUCUUCUUCUUCCUGUCUGUGUUUCAAACAAGAGCAAGACUGGGUUCAAUCGGAACCCUAGACAGCGGCGACGGCGCUGGAAAGAUGGAGGCUGGCAGAACUGCCGGCGGUUUUGACGGCUGUGGUGACGGCGGUUUUCUGAUCAGAAACCCGGCGGCUUCGGAAUCACUGCUAUGAUUCACCUGAGUGGCGACGGUUGCUGGUUCAGAACCCUGAACAGUGACUGCGGACCUGAACAGAGGAAACUGGCGUGAAAGGACCGGCUGAAACUGAUGCAAAUCGGAACCCUAGUUCAAAUUUCUGCACCUUCAGAGCCUGAGCUCUGAUACCAGUUGUUUGGAUCAGGUUGCACUCACGAACACAGAACUCACACAGACACAAAAUUUUCUGUUGAAGAACACAAAGAUUUAUAGUGGUUCGGUCGAUUCUGACCUACAUCCACUGUGGUAACUAGGAGUAUUUGUUAUUAAGCUUGGUACAAGAAUUUACAAAUACAAUACAAUCAUAUAUAAGAUUGAAUGAUAGAGGAAAGAGAAAGACAAGAUCCGUAAAAUCUGGAUCACAGGAAGAUUGGAUAACCCUGUGGAUAUCAUCCUCUUAUCCUGCUUUCUGACCUCAGCUUGAUCAAGUUGUCAAGUGGCUUAGCACUCAACAAUGUCAAAUUGUCAAGUUGGCUUCAUACUCAACAUGGUUUAUAUAGCGGAGCAGGAAUGAUCUCAUCUUCAACCAUAAGUAUCCAAAUAUUGGUAGUGUGGUGGGGGAGAUAAAAUCAAUUGGGUUCAUAUGGGUCAUGAACAGGUCAAAAGCUAGAGGUGUGUCUUGGGAGCAAUGGAAGAACUUUGAAGUAGGAAGUUUGUAUUAGUUUCUGUUAUUUCGUUGGGCUCUUUAGCCUCUGUUAGUUUUCUGGCCUUUUGGUGAAUGAUAUAUGUACUUGGUGUGGCUAAAUUUUGGUUAGCCAAUUUAUAAUAUUGUGGUUUUUGUUGGCCGUUCAAAAAAAAUUCUAACACUCUUUUGAUACU
Molecule: long non-coding RNA, 2378 nt
Organism: Helianthus annuus (common sunflower)
Lineage: Eukaryota; Viridiplantae; Streptophyta; Magnoliopsida; Asterales; Asteraceae
Exons: 2
Source: RefSeq, a predicted model, not a curated record